Molecule: ribosomal RNA, 253 nt
Filed under: uncultured bacterium
Lineage: Bacteria
Description: partial 16S ribosomal RNA
Rfam family: Bacterial small subunit ribosomal RNA
Source: RNAcentral
UACGUAGGGUGCGAGCGUUGUCCGGAAUCAUUGGGCGUAAAGGGCGCGUAGGUGGCCCGGUCAGUCAGUGGUGAAAGCGCGGGGCUCAACUCCGCGUCGGCCAUUGAUACUGCUGGGCUUGAGCACUGUAGAGGCAGGCGGAAUUCCGGGUGUAGCGGUGGAAUGCGUAGAGAUCCGGAAGAACACCGGUGGCGAAGGCGGCCUGCUGGGCAGUAGCUGACACUGAGGCGCGACAGCGUGGGGAGCAAACAGG